UAGGGAAUCUUCGGCAAUGGGGGGAACCCUGACCGAGCAACGCCGCGUGAGUGAAGAAGGUUUUCGGAUCGUAAAGCUCUGUUGUUAAGGAAGAACGAGUGUGAGAAUGGAAAGUUCAUGCUGUGACGGUACUUAACCAGAAAGGGACGGCUAACUACGUGCCAGCAGCCGCGGUAAUACGUAGGUCCCGAGCGUUGUCCGGAUUUAUUGGGCGUAAAGCGAGCGCAGGCGGUUAGAAAAGUCUGAAGUGAAAGGCAGUGGCUCAACCAUUGUAGGCUUUGGAAACUGUUUAACUUGAGUGCAGAAGGGGCGAGUGGAAGUCCAUGUGUAGCGGUGAAAUGCGUAGAUAUAUGGAGGAACACCGGUGGCGAAAGCGGCUCUCUGGUCUGUAACUGACGCUGAGGCUCGAAAGCGUGGGGAGCGAACAGG
Molecule: ribosomal RNA, 429 nt
Filed under: Bacteroidota bacterium
Lineage: Bacteria; Pseudomonadati; Bacteroidota
Description: Bacteroidetes bacterium partial 16S ribosomal RNA
Rfam family: Bacterial small subunit ribosomal RNA
Source: RNAcentral